UACGGGGGGGGCAAGCGUUGUUCGGAAUUACUGGGCGUAAAGGGCUCGUAGGCGGCCAACUAAGUCAGACGUGAAAUCCCUCGGCUUAACCGGGGAACUGCGUCUGAUACUGGAUGGCUUGAGGUUGGGAGAGGGAUGCGGAAUUCCAGGUGUAGCGGUGGAAUGCGUAGAUAUCUGGAGGAACACCGGUGGCGAAGGCGGCAUCCUGGACCAAUUCUGACGCUGAGGAGCGAAAGCCAGGGAGCAAACGGG
This 252-nucleotide ribosomal RNA is filed under the name uncultured bacterium. RNAcentral's name for it is "partial 16S ribosomal RNA". It matches the Rfam family "Bacterial small subunit ribosomal RNA", at positions 524 to 776 of the family's 1533-position model. The record is from RNAcentral.